UGGAAAGAAAACGAUUCGCAUCCAUUAGUAGGACGUACGAUAAUUUUCUCUCGCCCGAUCUGUUGCGAUCGUGAUCUUGCGAGGCAAGAUAUUUUUUUGGUGAUCCGAUCUAUACGCCUGUGACAUCUAGAGUCCAAAUCGACUAGAAGAUCUUUCUCCGGCCGAGGAACAUCUACCGCGGACGCCGCUCUGCCAUCGAGUCGCCGUGAAGCGCCUUCCGCGCAUCAUGCAGGUUGGGCGUCAUGGCCGCAGCAGCUAGCGGGCAAAUUUCGCGCCGUCUCCAACGACUGCCGCAACUAAUCUGGGAUUUGUUUCUCUGAACGGAAACCGAAGCUCGAUUGGAGGAGGAGAUGCGACUACUGGUCGAACGCCGAGAUCCAUCUCCGAAGCUGGCCUCCUACCUAUUAGCCUCAUCUUUUAUUCAAACAUGAAGACCGGAGGUGAGAAGAAAGUUAGAUUGGGGAGGAGAGAAGAUGGACCAGGCAAAGAUAGAAACAUGGGGGCACGCAACAAGUCCUCUUUCAGAUGAAUUUGUGUACUAGAUUAUCUGCGGAUUUGUUCAGCUUUUUCAUACUCAUUAUAUCGAGAAACAUGGGUGAUGAAGUGUUUAUAAUACCCAUUAGUUUGAUCAUGGCCUUUUUUCUGAAAGUACAAGUUGAUUGAUAAUGCAUGUCUCGGCAGUGGAUUUAUUGCAGUAGAAGCAGCACGGAUUCGUCUCGCCUGAAUAUGCCCAAUCAGUUGAUUUUUGCUUCAAUAUUUUUCCUCAUUCCUGCACUUAAGCUAUGAACUCAUCGUCUUUAUAAUGCAGGUUGCAGUUAAUUUGUCACCAUAUGGAUACAAUCGUACAAUCACUGUCUAUAGAUGGGGCACAUGAGCUGGAGAUUCUACAUAGUCACAUAGGUGCAAACGAUGCCUUUAUCUUUUACAAACCUCGAUUUGCAGGGCUUCCGAACCUGCCUAGGAGUUGAAGGUUCAGUUCUCCAAGACAGACCACCAUUGCACAUGCAGUCCUGCAAGAUCGAUUAAAGACCUGCAUCAUAGAGAUAGCCAAGAGCAAGAUACGAUCAAAGACGUGCUUCUUAGAGACAGCGCAGAGCAGUAACAUCAUGGGCAAAUGUAAAACAAGGGUGCACAUCUACCAGGAGCACAAUCGGAUCAAUCCCAGGAAUAGAUCGGCUAAGCUGCAAGCAGGCGUGAGUCUUUACAGAUCAUUCUGCACGUGUUGUCUUGGAGGAAGUUCGCACAAUUGCCCGCCCUAACUUGAUGCAGCCAUCCACCGCAGCUAGGGAUGGCCAGGCCAGCACUCAUUACUCAGCUCCAGAACAUCUCUUAUUAUGCAAUUGGCAUGGCUUCUACAUCAGGUAAUCGUUUUCUUCAGGGUCAAUUCCUUUCUUACAAUAGGACUCCUAAUCCACGAUCUACUUCCUGUAUCUAUGAAUUCAUGGAGAACUUGAUUACAUGACGUUCUGUUCACAAGUCUUGCACUGACGUUCCUGAGAUGCGAGGUGGAUUUAGAUGAGAAAUUUAUGUACCUGCUUUGUACUUAUGUGUGUCCCUAUCGCUACAAAAGGUUCAUCUUUUAUUGUGAAAACAAGAAAAAUACUUGAGAAGAUUUUUUUAAUGGAUUUCUCUCCGCUGGAUAGCGCGUGCUGCCAAAUCUACAUCAGCAAAAGGUAAGUUAAGGACUGAGGUGGUGUUAUUUAAUUUUCUCUUCGUUUAUAUAUUACGCUGGUACUUGCAAACCAGUUUUCCAUCUACUGAUAGUUAUAAUUGAUUGGUAGCAUAGGAAAAUGAUAUAAAAAUGACUCCAUAAUUGUAGCUUUGAUUGUGUAGACAUCUAUGUCAUACGGAAGCUCUUGGAAUCGAUCCCCAAGUUUUUAAAAUCAUUCUUUCCACUUCUCAUUAUGCGCUAUUUACUCCCGGUCUGUAGUGAAAUAAAUGAAAAAAGCAUGUUGUGCAGUGAAGAUGCCAGCUAGAACGGUAUACGAGUUUGUCUACAUAUGUGGUUCUUCCAAAACUUAGUAAGCAGCUUGAAAAUUGUGGGAUUAGAAUGCUGCUAUCAACCAGAUGUAUGUUUGUUGGGAUACAUGGUAUCGAACAUCUAUAUAUCUAUACAUAACUAAAUGUAGAAAGUGCAUGCAAUUUUGUCUGCGAGUUUCCAACUUUGUUCCUCAAAAUGGAAUGUUCAGAAAUUAUUUUCUUAGAAAAAUGUUUUUGUUUUUUCUAAAGAUUUGGAUAUUGACUACCAACGGCAAAAAAGUAUUCAUGCAUAUUUUUAAAUACUUCCUCCGAUCUGGAAAAAAUGUCGGGCAUGCAUUUUUACAAACAAGCCCUCAGUCUUUGGUUUUAUCAACCUGCACUCCACAUAGUACAAUUUUUUCAACGAUAUGUUGCUUGAAGCACAAAAAAAAGACAAUUAUUUUUAUGUUUUUAGGUCCAAGACUUAAAUCCGUGUUUGUAUGUCAUCUCUGAAUUUGUUGUUUUCCGAAUUUCUUUACAUAACACAUGUAUAUUGAUUAGAGAUUUAUGUUUAUGUUUGCACAAUGCAUCCAAUAUCUGCAUAGUGCAUUCAAAAUAUUGUCGCUCUAGCAUGUACUUCAAUAUGACUUUGAUAAUAUAGUCGCUGUAGCAAUGACACAAUAUGCUCCACUUUGUUUUAAUGGUAAGAAAAUAGUUAUUGCGUGAUUACAUUAUUGAUAUUAGAUUCAUAAAUUUCUACAAAUUCAAAUAUUUUGUAUGUUGAUUCUACAUUAUUGUGCUUCUCUGUCACUACUGAGUAACUGACCCACGAUCUGAAUAUAUUUCAAGUACAAUUUCGUUGAGGAAUUGAAAAAUUUGUCGUGAGGACCAGAGAUGAUAUAAUAGAUGUCAGACUAAUUUAGCAGGCAAGUAUAUGUUGGUUGUGAAAGUAAAAUUAUAGUUUUGAAGGAGAAUAUAUAGAUUUGGGAGGCAGAAAAUAUGUGCGGAUGAUAGUGGUAGAAGAAGAUAUAUUUAAAAAAAAAUAUUCUGAAUCAAGUCCCAAUACGGUACGCAUUUUCUAUGCCAUUGAAUAGAUCACAAAGGUACAAGAACAUGGGAUGUUCAGAGUUUCGCAAAGCAUCUAUCCUUCCAAUUGAAUCUUUAUCAUUUGAAAUUAGGUAUAUAUAUGUGCACUUACAAUAAUUCUAUAUUGCGUACUAAAAGAACAUGUCCAAUUCCAACGAGAUCCUAGCUAGGCGGUGAAUGGCAUAGUUACGAUGAGAAAAAUGACCACGGGCGGCGGGACAGUUGUUCUCCAACAAUCCAGCGGCCGUUGUCUUCAGCGGACAGCACGGGUACGUGGACAGCAGGUGUAUCUCUAGCGCCGGCUUUUCCUCUCCAGCCAUGCAUCUCAAGAAUCUGCUCACCCUUCUUCCGCUUGAUUCCACAACCGCUCAUCAGUCCCUUCAUCGCCAGUGCAUGCGGCCUGACUGCACAUGACGUUGAGGAGUGCCAAGCAGUUGACAUCCUUUUGACCUCUUUCUCUUGCGGGUGAAGCAUCGAUGGUUUCAUGAUACUAGCCAAGCAGUAGAAGAUAGGAAGCCGAUCAAGUGGAAAGGUUUGUGUAAAAGAGCUGAGGCAAAAGAGUGCUGCUACACACACGACAAAACCUGUCCGAUUUGUGUACGAAGUUGUACAGGAGCCGUAGAUUGCACCCCCUAGGUAGCAUCCUGGUUGCACAUCGGCUCAUCGGACAAAAAUCGGACUAAUUCAGUCGUACGUGUAGUAAUUGUAGUGUUGGUAAAUUAGAAGCGUUAGCAAAUGUUUUUAACCUUUUCUCAACAAGGUGACUGAUAGUCAUGUGGUGAAAGAUGUCUUACAUAUAGAAGUAUCUUCUGCUAGAAGAAAGAAACUUUUAUGUUUAGUAAAUCUGUGACUCCAAGUUUGCUCAAAAGGAUUUUGGUAGCUGAUCUUUUUGUCAUCUCUACUUGGAGAAAAAAAUGCAAAAGGCCUACAAGUCAAAUCAUAUUACCCAUAUACUAUGAAUAAAUUUGCAGGUGCACGCUUCAGAUUAUCAUAUAUCCAGUAUACGCGCAUAGAGAGGAUACUUUAGGGAUGGAAAUGGAGUAGGAAGUAUCCAACUUCAUGACGAAAAUAGAGGUUAUAAGUUUCACUUCCUCUAUGUUCCUUACCUAUGUAUCGAAUCUAAUCUAUUCUACUGUAUAUGAAUUUAUUUGAUAACAUGAUUCUAUCAUGCAAUUUUUUCGCUACAGUUAAUCAUGUACAGAUUGGGGAUAUAAAACUAAAUAGAAACAAGGUCAUGUGAUUUUUUGCCUAAGGCAAUGCAGCUUUGGGUUGAGAAUCAGGCGCGAAACAAAAAUUGUUCGGAGUAGAACAAUCAGAUGCUUGGUCAUAUAUUGGCUAUUAUAUUUGUACUGGUGACAUUUACGAUGAGAAGAUUGGAUAUACGAAGUAAGGCAUGGCCGUUCGUAAGAUUGUAACUAUAUUCAUACCAUACACAAAAUUAAUUAACAAUAAAAAUAUAUAUUAAUAACUAAUAAAACAUAAAAUAAUAAAUGGCAACUAUAAUGUUCAUAAAAUAUAUACGCACAAAUAUUGUCUAGCCCCGCGAAUUCGCGGGCCA
Lolium perenne is the source of this 4603-nucleotide long non-coding RNA. RefSeq lists it as uncharacterized. The record is from RefSeq and is a predicted model, not a curated record. NCBI's taxonomy places the organism in Eukaryota, Viridiplantae, Streptophyta, Magnoliopsida, Poales, Poaceae.